Small nucleolar RNA from Dunckerocampus dactyliophorus (ringed pipefish), 137 nucleotides. RefSeq annotates it as small nucleolar RNA SNORA29. The transcript has a single exon. The record is from RefSeq and is a predicted model, not a curated record. NCBI's taxonomy places the organism in Eukaryota, Metazoa, Chordata, Actinopteri, Syngnathiformes, Syngnathidae.
AAUCCCAUUUCAGUACCUUCCACUCUUAUUGUAAUGAGUGGAUGGUUAUGCCAGUGGGAUAGAAAAACUCUGUCUUGGUCUGAAGGUGUGGCUACUGCUGUGUUUCAUCACCCAAUAAAAAGACAGAAUAACAGCAA